GAACGCUAGCGGUGCGCCUAACACAUGCAAGUCGAGCGGUAGAAUUAUUAUUGAAUCUUCGGAUGAUUUAAUAAUUUGAGAGCGGCGAACGGGUGAGUAACACGUUGGUAUCUGCCCCCAAGUCAGGGAUAGCCAUUGGAAACGAUGAUUAAUACCGGAUAGUCUCUUCGGAGUAAAGAUUUAUUGCUUGGGGAGGAACCUGCGUUCUAUCAGCUAGUUGGUGAGGUAAAAGCUCACCAAGGCUAUGACGGAUACCUGGUCUGAGAGGAUGAUCAGGCACAAUGGAACUGAGACACGGUCCAUACUCCUACGGGAGGCAGCAGUGAGGAAUCUUCCACAAUGGGCGAAAGCCUGAUGGAGCGACACCGCGUGAAGGAUGAAGGCCUAACGGUUGUAAACUUCUUUUCUGAAGGAGCAUAAUGAGAGUACUUCAGGAAUAAGGGACGGCUAAAUACGUGCCAGCAGCCGCGGUAAUACGUAUGUCUCGAGCGUUACCCGGAAUCACUGGGUGUAAAGGGUUUGUAGGCGGCUUGUUAAGUUGGAUAUGAAAGACCGGAGCUCAACUCCGAGUUUGUGUUCAAAACUGGCAAGCUAGAAUCAAGGAGAGGUAAGCGGAAUUCUAAGUGUAGGGGUGCAAUCCGUAGAUACUUAGAGGAACACCAAAAGCGAAGGCAGCUUACUGGAAUUGUAUUGACGCUGAGGAACGAAAGCGUGGGGAGCGAAAAGGAUUAGAUACCCUUGUAGUCCACGCCCUAAACGAUGAUAACUAAGUGUUGUGUUUUCGGAUGCAG
Molecule: ribosomal RNA, 791 nt
Filed under: uncultured bacterium
Lineage: Bacteria
Description: bacterial SSU rRNA
Rfam family: Bacterial small subunit ribosomal RNA
Source: RNAcentral